Molecule: ribosomal RNA, 901 nt
Filed under: uncultured bacterium
Lineage: Bacteria
Description: bacterial SSU rRNA
Rfam family: Bacterial small subunit ribosomal RNA
Source: RNAcentral
CAGGAUGAACGCUAGCUACAGGCUUAACACAUGCAAGUCGAGGGGAAACGACAUCGAAAGCUUGCUUUUGAUGGGCGUCGACCGGCGCACGGGUGAGUAACGCGUAUCCAACCUGCCCAUCACUUGGGGAUAACCUUGCGAAAGUAAGACUAAUACCCAAUGACGUCUCUAGAAGACAUCUGAAAGAGAUUAAAGAUUUAUCGGUGAUGGAUGGGGAUGCGUCUGAUUAGCUUGUUGGCGGGGUAACGGCCCACCAAGGCGACGAUCAGUAGGGGUUCUGAGAGGAAGGUCCCCCACAUUGGAACUGAGACACGGUCCAAACUCCUACGGGAGGCAGCAGUGAGGAAUAUUGGUCAAUGGACGAGAGUCUGAACCAGCCAAGUAGCGUGCAGGAUGACGGCCCUAUGGGUUGUAAACUGCUUUUAUAAGGGAAUAAAGUGAGAGUCGUGACUCUUUUUGCAUGUACCUUAUGAAUAAGGACCGGCUAAUUCCGUGCCAGCAGCCGCGGUAAUACGGAAGGUCCGGGCGUUAUCCGGAUUUAUUGGGUUUAAAGGGAGCGUAGGCCGGAGAUUAAGCGUGUUGUGAAAUGUAGAGGCUCAACCUCUGCACUGCAGCGCGAACUGGUCUUCUUGAGUACGCACAACGUGGGCGGAAUUCGUGGUGUAGCGGUGAAAUGCUUAGAUAUCACGAAGAACUCCGAUUGCGAAGGCAGCUCACGGGAGCGCAACUGACGCUGAAGCUCGAAAGUGCGGGUAUCGAACAGGAUUAGAUACCCUGGUAGUCCGCACGGUAAACGAUGGAUGCCCGCUGUUGGCCUGAAUAGGUCAGCGGCCAAGCGAAAGCAUUAAGCAUCCCACCUGGGGAGUACGCCGGCAACGGUGAAACUCAAAGGAAUUGACGG